This 236-nucleotide ribosomal RNA is filed under the name Oenococcus oeni. RNAcentral's name for it is "partial 23S ribosomal RNA". It matches the Rfam family "Bacterial large subunit ribosomal RNA", at positions 2220 to 2455 of the family's 2925-position model. The record is from RNAcentral. Lineage: Bacteria; Bacillati; Bacillota; Bacilli; Lactobacillales; Lactobacillaceae.
UUCUAACUCUGAUCAGUUAUCCUGAUCGAAGACAGUGUCUGGCAGGCAGUUUGACUGGGGCGGUCGCCUCCUAAAAGAUAACGGAGGCGCUCAAAGGUUUGCUCAGAAUGGUUGGAAAUCAUUCGUAGCGUGUAAAGGCAUAAGCAAGCUUGACUGUGAGACUGACAAGUCGAGCAGGUACGAAAGUAGGACUUAGUGAUCCGGUGGUUCCGUAUGGAAGGGCCAUCGCUCAACGG